Molecule: transfer RNA, 71 nt
Filed under: Pseudoxanthobacter soli DSM 19599
Lineage: Bacteria; Pseudomonadati; Pseudomonadota; Alphaproteobacteria; Hyphomicrobiales; Segnochrobactraceae
Rfam family: tRNA
About the family: Transfer RNA (tRNA) molecules are approximately 80 nucleotides in length. Their secondary structure includes four short double-helical elements and three loops (D, anti-codon, and T loops).
Source: Rfam by way of RNAcentral
GGUGACGUGGCGGAGUGGUUACGCAGCGGACUGCAAAUCCGUGUACGCCGGUUCAAGUCCGGCCGUCACCU